CAAGGCCACACCUCCUAAUCCUUCCCAAACACUUCCACCAACUGGGGACGAAGUAUUCAAAUAUACGGGGGCCAUGUCAUUUAAACCACCACAUUCUUGAUUGCAAAUAUCUCUGCCAUCCUUCUGUCCUGAUGCUUGCAUCUUGCUGUAGCUCUGAGAGCAAUGGCGCCAGCCAAUCAUGGACGGAAGCUCCCGAAAUCAUGAGGCCAACCGAGUUCUUCCUGUCUUAAGCUGUUUAUCCCAGCUGCAAUGAGGAAACCCCUGAGUAAACAGAGAGCGUGAUGUUGGCCCUGAGGUCUCUCUGAGCUGCACCCCGGGGGACACACUCCAGGGUCAGGCCUACUUCCGGUCCUAUUCCAGCCUCCAGUCAGCCACCAUGUUGUCUCCCUGAAGUAUUUCUUCGGACUAUGUUUGCUCAGCCCUUGAAGGAAAAGCCUGUCUCCAAACAGCAGAGCAGAGGAACUCUCUGAGGCAGAUGUCUGCUGAAGGCCAGCGCCCUCUGCCCUCCCUGCCAGAGGCCCUCCCCGGCCCAGAACAAUGGCUGCAAGUCACUCAGAGCACUCCACAGACUUCCAGACCCAGAUGUCUGCAACCAAGCCAGUGUAGAGACUCACAUCUGCCCUCCAUCAUAUAAAGUCAGCAUGUGGCACAAAUGCUAGAUGUGCCCAUGUGUCCAGGCUCUGGCUAAGAAGUGUGAGCUGAAGGGAUAUGGGCCUCUGAUACACACAUGAUGUCCUUCAACAGAAAAAAGC
Peromyscus maniculatus bairdii (prairie deer mouse) is the source of this 752-nucleotide non-coding RNA. NCBI's taxonomy places the organism in Eukaryota, Metazoa, Chordata, Mammalia, Rodentia, Cricetidae. The record is from RefSeq and is a predicted model, not a curated record.